RNAcentral lists this ribosomal RNA (440 nucleotides) under uncultured bacterium. RNAcentral's name for it is "bacterial SSU rRNA". It matches the Rfam family "Bacterial small subunit ribosomal RNA", at positions 28 to 460 of the family's 1533-position model. The record is from RNAcentral.
GAUGAACGCUGGCGGCGUGCCUAAUACAUGCAAGUCGAACGCACAGCGAAAGGUGCUUGCACCUUUCAAGUGAGUGGCGAACGGGUGAGUAACACGUGGAUAACCUACCUCAAGGUUGGGGAUAACAUUUGGAAACAGAUGCUAAUACCGAAUAAAACUUAGUAUCGCAUGAUACCAGGUUAAAAGGCGCUACGGCGUCACCUAGAGAUGGAUCCGCGGUGCAUUAGUUAGUGGUGGGUAAAGGCUUACCAAGACAAUGAUGCAUAGCCGAGUUGAGAGACUGAUCGGCCACAUUGGACUGAGACACGGCCCAAACUCCUACGGGAGGCUGCAGUAGGGAAUCUUCCACAAUGGGCGAAAGCCUGAUGGAGCAACGCCGCGUGUGUGAUGAAGGCUUUCGGGUCGUAAAGCACUGUUGUAUGGGAAGAACAGCUAGAGUA